AAAAAACAGUUUCCGGUCAUUCAAAUUUGGCGCUGUCAAAAUAAAUAAACCAUAUCCAUAGUAAUGGAAAAAACUAAACAAAACGUUCAAUAUGCAAUAUUAAUAUUCAGUCAUCAUCAUUCGUACCAGAUCUCUUGAACCACACUCUUGUGAGGCCACGUAAUUAUGGAUCCGAUUACAAGCGAAUCGUAAUCUGUAACUAUGGAGUCCGAACAUUCGAAAUUUCUAGUAAUCAUUCGGCAUAAUAUCAGUGGGGAACUCUGAUAAGACAAUAAAGAAAACACCAAAAAAAUAGAAAAAUAAAAAAUGCAGAAAUAAGAAAGCUUCGCCUUUAUUAUGGAGCUGUGAAAAACUAAUUAAGAAAAAUACAAAAAUAGGGGAGCUGCUUCUUUAUUAUGGAGCUGUGUAAUCACAAAUACAAGUAAUACGGUAAUAGGAAAGCUUCGUCUUUAUUAAGAAGCUACGAAACGGAAAAACGAACGGAUAAUGCAUAACUACGAAACCUUGGUCUUCAUUUUGUGUCAGGCUGACUUGCAAAAUUUCCAGUGCCAUCACAAUAAGGGGAGUAAGUACACAUCGCGCCGUUACAGUCAGUGUUAAUUGAAAACAUAUCAACAAAGCGAAAAAUAAUAGAUGAUAGCAUGCACAAGAAUCAUGUGUUGACUAACCACGCCAGAUCGAGGAGGAUGGGGUUUUCGCAUCGCACAGUUAUGUUAUAUCCAUGAAAACUUCUAAGUUUAUAUAUAUUUAUAGUUAUUAUUGUAUUACCAUUAAACAUAUUUUAUAGUUAUAAUUAUUAUAGUACAUUAAAGACGUUAAAAGUAGCAAAAUUA
Molecule: long non-coding RNA, 833 nt
Organism: Aethina tumida (small hive beetle)
Lineage: Eukaryota; Metazoa; Arthropoda; Insecta; Coleoptera; Nitidulidae
Exons: 2
Source: RefSeq, a predicted model, not a curated record